RNAcentral lists this long non-coding RNA (619 nucleotides) under Struthio camelus australis. RNAcentral's name for it is "lncRNA (ENSSCUG00000005913.1)". Lineage: Eukaryota; Metazoa; Chordata; Aves; Struthioniformes; Struthionidae. The record is from RNAcentral.
CACUCUCUCAGACAUCUAACCACUUCAUUGAUGAGCUGCCUCCACCAGUCCAAGAGCUGCUGGAUGAAAUUGAAUGUUUAAAGCAGCAAGAUUCCACCACUCAAGACCUCAAAGAGGAGGCGCUGUAUGACUGUGGCAUGCCAAUAGAAGUUUCUGAUCCAUUUAAAAUAGAGGACAGAGAGGCAAAAAAGGAAACGGAGAGAAAUGAGAAGAGAGGUAAUAGCUUAUGGACUGAAGAGCCAUUAAAUCUAGCAGAGGAAACAGAAAGGGCUCAUUCUACUCUUGAUGAUAUUUUAGAAAGAAUGCUUCAUACAAUUCCUGAAGAUGAGGAGAACCAAGAACAAGCUCAGGUGCACACUCUUAGGGCUGCAAACGUGAAUAAUCCAGGAGAUGGUGGAAUGAAGAAUGGAGUAAAGGAAUGCAAAACAAAGGAAGAAAGCAGAGAGCCAGAAAGCUGUGCCAGGAGUCCUGAAGACCCGCAUCAUGAGGAUCAGAAAUUCCACUUACGACGUCAGCUCUCUUGGCCCUCUCCGUUCAGGGUGAUCGUAUUGGAUCAGAGCAGCCCUCCUACAUGAAAAGGGCUAGUGAAUAAAUUCUAAUAUAUCACCUGCUUACUGCA